AUUACAUUAUGUAAGGACCAUGCUUUGUGUUAAAAAUAAGAAGUAGGGGGAAGAGUUUCAAGUGGGCGUCUGCUGUAAGGACCAAGGGUGUUUUAUUCUUUUUAAAAGGAAAAAGUGGUGGGGAAGGGGAGCACGUCCGUGAGUGGUAAGAAGUGAGGCGGCUGCACGUUUCUGGAAGUGGGAGACGGCUAUCUAACAGCAGAUGGUGCAGCUGGUGGAUGGUGGGUCUUCCCACUUUGAAGUGCUCCAACCACCAAGAGGAAUCAUCAUCAUUUUCUUAAUGGGCACAACACUAAGGGAAGGAAAGGGAGAAGCUGGGGAGUGCACGGGUUCUACUUCUUAAGGGGAAGAGUUGGUAGAUUCAAGGGGUUGGGAGGAUCCUUACGGAUUGGAAGAGUUGCUGCAAAAUAGUGAGAGGGUGAAAAUCGGAGCUGUUGAAGGACAAGGAGGCCUCGGAUUUGCAAGCCUUGAGAAGACUGAUUCAAGAAGAGUGUUGGUGCUGCAUCUUGAGGAGUUAGAAAGAUUGCUGCAUCCAGUGGUGAGGCAGAGAACGUUUGGAAGUACUACAUUCAAGUUUGGCUAGGAGGUCUUCAAGAGAUGUUGUCGCGGAGUUUCCCUUGGAUCAAGAGCUAGAGGUUGCGGAUAUUGUGGGGUAGUCUUCUUAGAAUUUAUUGAUUGAACACUUGUAGUGUUUAAUCCUUUCAACUGUUCAAGUUUAAAUUUUCAGUUUCUUUUAUUUAUGGAUGACUGUAAUUUCACAUUUAAUUACACGUCAUACUCCGACUGUUCUCUAUAUUUGGAUGUUAACGUCUUUAUUAUAUAAUAUUGGUUAUUAUAUA
RNAcentral lists this small RNA (839 nucleotides) under Vigna angularis var. angularis. RNAcentral's name for it is "Non-protein coding transcript". The record is from RNAcentral. Lineage: Eukaryota; Viridiplantae; Streptophyta; Magnoliopsida; Fabales; Fabaceae.